Non-coding RNA from Parelaphostrongylus tenuis, 72 nucleotides. NCBI's taxonomy places the organism in Eukaryota, Metazoa, Nematoda, Chromadorea, Rhabditida, Metastrongylidae. The record is from the annotation of a GenBank genome assembly.
ACGCCGAUAGUGCAGUGGUUAGCACACGCUUCCGGAAAGGGUGGAAUGCGGGUUCGCAUUCCGUUCGACGUU